UACACUCCUGCGGGAGGCAGCAGUGGGGAAUUUUGGACAAUGGGCGAAAGCCUGAUCCAGCAAUGCCGCGUGUGUGAAGAAGGCCUUCGGGUUGUAAAGCACUUUUGUCCGGAAAGAAAUCCUUGGCUCUAAUACAGUCGGGGGAUGACGGUACCGGAAGAAUAAGCACCGGCUAACUACGUGCCAGCAGCCGCGGUAAUACGUAGGGUGCGAGCGUUAAUCGGAAUUACUGGGCGUAAAGCGUGCGCAGGCGGUUUGCUAAGACCGAUGUGAAAUCCCCGGGCUCAACCUGGGAACUGCAUUGGUGACUGGCAGGCUAGAGUAUGGCAGAGGGGGGUAGAAUUCCACGUGUAGCAGUGAAAUGCGUAGAGAUGUGGAGGAAUACCGAUGGCGAAGGCAGCCCCCUGGGCCAAUACUGACGCUCAUGCACGAAAGCGUGGGGAGCAAACAGGAUUAGAUACCCUAGUAGUCCCAUGA
This 477-nucleotide ribosomal RNA is filed under the name uncultured organism. Its description in RNAcentral is "partial 16S ribosomal RNA". It matches the Rfam family "Bacterial small subunit ribosomal RNA", at positions 332 to 800 of the family's 1533-position model. The record is from RNAcentral.